RNAcentral lists this ribosomal RNA (492 nucleotides) under uncultured bacterium. Its description in RNAcentral is "partial 16S ribosomal RNA". It matches the Rfam family "Bacterial small subunit ribosomal RNA", at positions 29 to 507 of the family's 1533-position model. The record is from RNAcentral.
AGUGAACGCUGGCGGUAGGCCUAACACAUGCAAGUCGAACGGCAGCACAGUAAGAGCUUGCUCUUACGGGUGGCGAGUGGCGGACGGGUGAGGAAUACAUCGGAAUCUACUUUUUCGUGGGGGAUAACGUAGGGAAACUUACGCUAAUACCGCAUACGACCUACGGGUGAAAGCAGGGGAUCUUCGGACCUUGCGCGAUUGAAUGAGCCGCUGUCGGAUUAGCUAGUGGGCGGGGUAAAGGCCCACCAAGGCGACGAUCCGUAGCCGGUCUGAGAGGAUGAUCAGCCACACUGGAACUGAGACACGGUCCAGACUCCUACGGGAGGCAGCAGUGGGGAAUAUUGGACAAUGGGCGCAAGCCUGAUCCAGCCAUACCGCGUGGGUGAAGAAGGCCUUCGGGUUGUAAAGCCCUUUUGUUGGGAAAGAAAAGCAGCAGGUUAAUACCCCGCUGUUCUGACGGUACCCAAAGAAUAAGCACCGGCUAACUUCGUG